GUGCUUGUAGCUUAGUGGAUAGAGUGCCUGUUUCCUAAGUUGAAGGUUGCAGGUUCGACCCUACUUGGCGCG
RNAcentral lists this transfer RNA (72 nucleotides) under Nicotiana attenuata. It matches the Rfam family "tRNA". Rfam says of the family: Transfer RNA (tRNA) molecules are approximately 80 nucleotides in length. Their secondary structure includes four short double-helical elements and three loops (D, anti-codon, and T loops). Lineage: Eukaryota; Viridiplantae; Streptophyta; Magnoliopsida; Solanales; Solanaceae. The record is from Rfam by way of RNAcentral.